UAUGUAGGGUGCGAGCGUUAAUCGGAAUUACUGGGCGUAAAGCGUGCGCAGGCGGAUUGUUAAGCAAGAUGUGAAAUCCCCGGGCUUAACCUGGGAAUGGCAUUUUGAACUGGCAAUCUAGAGUGUGUCAGAGGGGGGUAGAAUUCCACGUGUAGCAGUGAAAUGCGUAGAGAUGUGGAGGAAUACCGAUGGCGAAGGCGGCUUCCUGGCUUAAAACUGACACUGUGGCGCGAAAGCGUGGGUAGCAAACAGG
This 253-nucleotide ribosomal RNA is filed under the name uncultured bacterium. RNAcentral describes it as "partial 16S ribosomal RNA". It matches the Rfam family "Bacterial small subunit ribosomal RNA", at positions 524 to 776 of the family's 1533-position model. The record is from RNAcentral.